UUUUUUUUUUUUCUUUUCUUGAGAUGGAGUCUCACUCCAUUGCCCAGGCUGGAGUGCAGUGGUGCAAUCUCGGCUCACUGCAAGCCUCGCCUCCUGGGUUCUCCUGCCUCAUCCUCCUGAGUAGCUGGGACUACAGCCUGGCUAAUUUUUUUUUUUUUUUUUUUUUUUGUAUUUUUAGUAGAGACAGGGUUUCACCCUGUUAACCAGGAGGGUCGCAAUCUCCUGACCUCAUGAUCUGCCUGCCUUGGCCUCCCAAAGUGCUGGGAUUACAGGCGUGAGCCACCACGCCUGGCCCAACAUCUCUUAUUAAGGGUAUUCUACAGCCCUCCCUUUAAGGAAUGCUUCCAGGCUGUCACUGCCAGCAUCCAGAAAAGGACCUGACUAAUGCUUCCUUUCAGAAAAGCACUGUAAAGCAUGAUUGGCUGUAUCCUCCAGCAGACAAAGUGGAUGUGGCAACCCCAGACCUUCCAACCUUUCAGCUGCAAGUUCAACAGGAAUAAAGACUACUUCCUAGUGGUUUCUCCCAAAGCCCUCAGAUUAGCGAUUUGCCUAGCUUGUCACAUGCCAUCCCAGAACCAAUCCCUACAACCACAGAAAUGUAGUGUAUUAAUUGGUUUAGCCCUAGGUCACAUGACCCACCCGUGGAAAAGGGCUCAAUCCUCACUCAAACUACUUUGGCUGAAGGCUUGGAAGAGAUGGAGCCAGGGAAAGUAGACACUGGGGAGGCAAAAAUAAAGGUUCAAUAAGUAUGCCUUUACAGAUGGACCACAUAUUGAAUAUUAAAAACCAGCAUAUUCUGAAAAGAAGAAAUAUAAGCAAAAGAAAAAAAAGUGGGAAAUAUGAGGUAGUAUUUAGAAUUAGUAAGCUAUCCAACUAAGGUCAAGUGCAAGAAUAUUUUAAGAGUUACUUAAAUAUAUAGAGAUAGUCAGGCAUGGUAGCUGUGCCUGUAAUCCCAGCUGCUUUGGAAGCCAAGGUGGGAGGAAUGUCUUAAGCCCAGGAGUUCAAGGCUGCAGUGAGCUAUGAUUUCAAACCUGCACUCCAGCCUGUGAAGUAGAGGAGACCCCAUCUCUAAGAAAAAGAAAAAUAAAUAAAUAUAUAAAAUUACUUCCCUGUUA
This is a long non-coding RNA of Rhinopithecus roxellana (golden snub-nosed monkey), 1115 nucleotides long. RefSeq lists it as uncharacterized. The transcript is spliced from 2 exons. Lineage: Eukaryota; Metazoa; Chordata; Mammalia; Primates; Cercopithecidae. The record is from RefSeq and is a predicted model, not a curated record.